This is a non-coding RNA of Lemur catta (Ring-tailed lemur), 479 nucleotides long. The record is from the annotation of a RefSeq genome assembly. NCBI's taxonomy places the organism in Eukaryota, Metazoa, Chordata, Mammalia, Primates, Lemuridae.
GAGCAGCACAUUUGCAUGCAGGGCCCCCUCCCUCCUCUGGGGCUGGAGGGUGGAUAAGAGACACCUGCAGCGUGGCAGCCUCAGCACAGCUCUGGGGCGUCUGCACCAUGGCCUGGGCCCCCCUCCUCCUCCUCACCCUCCUCCUCCACUGCACAGGGUCCCUCUCCCAGCUUAUGCCUACUCAGUCGCCCUCUGCAUCUGCCUCCCUGGGAGCCUCGGCCAAGCUCACCUGCACCCUGAGCAGUGGACACAGCGGCUACACCAUUGAAUGGUACCAGCAGCAGCCGGGGAAGGCCCCUCAGUAUGUGAUGUGGCUUAACAGUGAUGGAAGCUAUGGCAAGGGGGACGGGAUCCCCGAUCGCUUCUCGGGCCCCAGCUCCGGGGCUGACCGCUACUUAACCAUCUCCAACAUCCAGUCUGAGGACAAGGCUGCCUAUAUCUGUGGUGUAUCUCAUAGCAUUGGUGUGUCAUUUGGGUAA